RNAcentral lists this ribosomal RNA (460 nucleotides) under uncultured bacterium. Its description in RNAcentral is "partial 16S ribosomal RNA". It matches the Rfam family "Bacterial small subunit ribosomal RNA", at positions 338 to 795 of the family's 1533-position model. The record is from RNAcentral.
CCUACGGGAGGCAGCAGUGAGGAAUAUUGGUCAAUGGACGCAAGUCUGAACCAGCCAUGCCGCGUGCAGGAUGACGGCUCUAUGAGUUGUAAACUGCUUUUGUACGAGGGUAAACCCCGAUACGUGUAUCGGGCUGCACGUAGCGUACGAAUAAGGAUCGGCUAACUCCGUGCCAGCAGCCGCGGUAAUCCGGAGGAUACGAGCGUUAUCCGGAUUUAUUGGGGUUAAGGGGUGCGUAGGCGGUGUGAUAAGUUAGGGGUGAAAUGUCGGGGCUCAACCCCGGAACAGCCUCUAAAACUGUCAGACUAGAGAUGAGUAGAGGUAGGCGGAAUGUAUGGUGUAGCGGUGAAAUGCUUAGAGAUCGUGCAGAACACCGAUUGCGAAGGCAGCUUACCAAACUAAAACUGACGUUGCGGCACGAAAGCGUGGGUAGCAAACAGGAUUAGAUACCCUUGUAGUC